ACGUAGGGGGCGAGCGUUGUCCGAAUUCACUGGGCGUAAAGCGCGCGUAGGCGGAUUUUUAAGUCAGAGGUGGAAUGCCGAGGCUCAACCUCGGAACUGCCUUUGAAACUGGGAGUCUUGAGGUAUGGAGAGGGAAGUGGAAUUCCAGGUGUAGCGGUGAAAUGCGUAGAUAUCUGGAGGAACACCCGUGGCGAAGGCGGCUUCCUGGCCAUAUCCUGACGCUGAGGUGCGAAAGCUAGGGGAGCGAACG
This 250-nucleotide ribosomal RNA is filed under the name uncultured bacterium. RNAcentral describes it as "partial 16S ribosomal RNA". It matches the Rfam family "Bacterial small subunit ribosomal RNA", at positions 525 to 774 of the family's 1533-position model. The record is from RNAcentral.